GAUCCAACAGCUGGAGGUGCUUAAAUUUUCUCAUUGAGGACGGGAAUUUUCCUUGCAAUCCACAGGAAUAGAGUACGAGUGAUGACAAAGAAGAAGACAUAUUCAUCAAGGAAUUGGGUCCAACCAAUGACAUGUUUACCCCACUCAGAUCGAGUUCUCUAAGCUGGGUUAGAUUUCGAACAAGCUUGUCAAAAGAAAUUGGUUCUAGACUUGGGUAGUAGUUUCCAGAGAGAUCAAGCGAAACCAAUUUGGAGAGCUGAGAGAUUUCCGAUGGAACUUGACCUGCAAAGCCUGAGAAAUUUAGGUUAAGAUGUGUCAGGUUGGAGAACUGGCCAAAUGGAGAAGAAAUAUGGGAGCUUUGGAAAUCAUUGUCAGAGAGGUCGAGCUUUUGAAGAUGAUGCAGGGAGAAGAGGGUGCUAUUGGGAUGGAGGGUGCCAUAAAGCAUGCUGCAAGAGAGGUCCAGUGCAGUGACUUGCCCGGUUUUCAUGUCACAAGUGACCCCAUCCCACAAACAGCAGUCUGUACCCUCUUUCCACGACUCUGUCUUGGGAUGCUGGCAACGCCCUGAAGCAGAGCUACUAAUGGAAAAGGACUCUUUGAAUUGGAGCAAAGAAAGACUUUGGUCAGGAGCACAGAAAUGAGAUGAAGAGGAGUAAUUUGAUGAAGAAAUUGUUGCGUGAAAAUGGAAGAGAAACAGAAUGGAAGAGAGAAAUUGAGAGAGGGACAGUGGUGAAAACCCCAUGGUGGCUGGCCUUACAGGAUUCGAAAG
This is a long non-coding RNA of Populus trichocarpa (black cottonwood), 769 nucleotides long. RefSeq lists it as uncharacterized. The record is from RefSeq and is a predicted model, not a curated record. The transcript is spliced from 3 exons. NCBI's taxonomy places the organism in Eukaryota, Viridiplantae, Streptophyta, Magnoliopsida, Malpighiales, Salicaceae.